Molecule: ribosomal RNA, 704 nt
Filed under: uncultured Propionibacterium sp.
Lineage: Bacteria; Bacillati; Actinomycetota; Actinomycetes; Propionibacteriales; Propionibacteriaceae
Description: bacterial SSU rRNA
Rfam family: Bacterial small subunit ribosomal RNA
Source: RNAcentral
UAAUACCGGAUAGGAGCUCCUGCUGCAUGGUGGGGGUUGGAAAGUUUCGGCGGUUGGGGAUGGACUCGCGGCUUAUCAGCUUGUUGGUGGGGUAGUGGCUUACCAAGGCUUUGACGGGUAGCCGGCCUGAGAGGGUGACCGGCCACAUUGGGACUGAGAUACGGCCCAGACUCCUACGGGAGGCAGCAGUGGGGAAUAUUGCACAAUGGGCGGAAGCCUGAUGCAGCAACGCCGCGUGCGGGAUGACGGCCUUCGGGUUGUAAACCGCUUUCGCCUGUGACGAAGCGUGAGUGACGGUAAUGGGUAAAGAAGCACCGGCUAACUACGUGCCAGCAGCCGCGGUGAUACGUAGGGUGCGAGCGUUGUCCGGAUUUAUUGGGCGUAAAGGGCUCGUAGGUGGUUGAUCGCGUCGGAAGUGUAAUCUUGGGGCUUAACCCUGAGCGUGCUUUCGAUACGGGUUGACUUGAGGAAGGUAGGGGAGAAUGGAAUUCCUGGUGGAGCGGUGGAAUGCGCAGAUAUCAGGAGGAACACCAGUGGCGAAGGCGGUUCUCUGGGCCUUUCCUGACGCUGAGGAGCGAAAGCGUGGGGAGCGAACAGGCUUAGAUACCCAGGUAGUCCACGCUGUAAACGGUGGGUACUAGGUGUGGGGUCCAUUCCACGGGUUCCGUGCCGUAGCUAACGCUUUAAGUACCCCGCCUGGGGAG